This 550-nucleotide ribosomal RNA is filed under the name Dujonia zeylanoides. RNAcentral describes it as "eukaryotic LSU rRNA". It matches the Rfam family "Eukaryotic large subunit ribosomal RNA", at positions 50 to 605 of the family's 3401-position model. The record is from RNAcentral. Lineage: Eukaryota; Fungi; Ascomycota; Pichiomycetes; Serinales; Debaryomycetaceae.
GCGGAGGAAAAGAAACCAACAGGGAUUGCCUCAGUAACGGCGAGUGAAGCGGCAAAAGCUCAAAUUUGAAAUCUAGCACUUUCAGUGUUCGAGUUGUAAUUUGAAGAAGGUAACUUUGGUUUUGGCUCUUGUCUAUGUUCCUUGGAACAGGACGUCACAGAGGGUGAGAAUCCCGUGCGAUGAGAUGCCCAAUUCCAUGUAAAGUGCUUUCGAAGAGUCGAGUUGUUUGGGAAUGCAGCUCUAAGUGGGUGGUAAAUUCCAUCUAAAGCUAAAUAUUGGCGAGAGACCGAUAGCGAACAAGUACAGUGAUGGAAAGAUGAAAAGAACUUUGAAAAGAGAGUGAAAAAGUACGUGAAAUUGUUGAAAGGGAAGGGCUUGAGAUCAGACUUGGUAUUUUGCGUUCCCUUCCUUUUUGGUUGGGUUCCUCGCAGUUUACUGGGCCAGCAUCGGUUUGGAUGGUAGGAUAAUGACAUUGGAAUGUAGCUUUACUUCGGUGAAGUGUUAUAGACUUUGUUGAUACUGCCUAUCUAGACCGAGGACUGCGUCUUGA